Oryctolagus cuniculus (rabbit) is the source of this 62-nucleotide small nuclear RNA. Its record names the gene U7. It matches the Rfam family "U7 small nuclear RNA". Rfam says of the family: Animal histone pre-mRNAs are spliced by a different mechanism than nuclear pre-mRNAs and self-splicing introns. NCBI's taxonomy places the organism in Eukaryota, Metazoa, Chordata, Mammalia, Lagomorpha, Leporidae. The record is from Ensembl.
CAGCAUUACAGCUCUUUUUGAAUUUGUCUAUCAGGUUUUCUGGUUUGUACCGGAAAGCACCA